Molecule: ribosomal RNA, 180 nt
Filed under: uncultured Glomeromycotina
Lineage: Eukaryota; Fungi; Glomeromycota
Description: partial small subunit ribosomal RNA
Source: RNAcentral
GGCCUGGCCGGAUGGUCCACCUAACGGUGUUGUACUGUCUGGCCGGGCCUUACCUCUUGGUGAGCCGGCGUGCCCUUUACUGGGUGCGUCGGGGAACCAGGACUUUUACCUUGAGAAAAUUAGAGUGUUCAAAGCAGGCAAUCGAGCCUUGAAUACUUCAGCAUGGGAUAAUGGAACAGG